GACGAACGCUGGCGGCGUGCUUAACACAUGCAAGUCGAACGGAAAGGCCCCUUUGGGGGUACUCGAGUGGCGAACGGGUGAGUAACACGUGAGUAACCUGCCCUUGACUUCGGGAUAACUUCAGGAAACUGGGGCUAAUACCGGAUAGGAAUCCUUGCUGCAUGGUGGGGGUUGGAAAGCUUCGGCGGUUUUGGAUGGACUCGCGGCUUAUCAGCUUGUUGGUGGGGUAGUGGCUUACCAAGGCUUUGACGGGUAGCCGGCCUGAGAGGGCGACCGGCCACAUUGGGACUGAGAUACGGCCCAGACUCCUACGGGAGGCAGCAGUGGGGAAUAUUGCACAAUGGGCGGAAGCCUGAGGCAGAAACGCCGCGUGCGGGAUGACGGACUUCGGGUGGUAAACCGCUUUCAGCAGGGGCGAAGAUUUUGUGACGGUACCUGAAGAAGAAGCACCGGCUAACUACGUG
RNAcentral lists this ribosomal RNA (464 nucleotides) under uncultured bacterium. RNAcentral's name for it is "partial 16S ribosomal RNA". It matches the Rfam family "Bacterial small subunit ribosomal RNA", at positions 28 to 507 of the family's 1533-position model. The record is from RNAcentral.